Molecule: transfer RNA, 72 nt
Organism: Camelus ferus (Wild Bactrian camel)
Lineage: Eukaryota; Metazoa; Chordata; Mammalia; Artiodactyla; Camelidae
Rfam family: tRNA
About the family: Transfer RNA (tRNA) molecules are approximately 80 nucleotides in length.
Source: Rfam
GUGGGUAUAGCUCAGUGGUAGAGCACAUGCUUAGCAUACAUGAGGUGUUGGGUUCAAUCCCUAGUACCUCCA